Molecule: ribosomal RNA, 450 nt
Filed under: uncultured bacterium
Lineage: Bacteria
Description: bacterial SSU rRNA
Rfam family: Bacterial small subunit ribosomal RNA
Source: RNAcentral
UCAAGAAACUUCCACAAUGGGCGAAAGCCUGAUGGAGCGACGUCGCGUGAUGGACGAAGUGCUUCGGCACGUAAACAUCUUUUAUGUGGGAUGAAAUUAUUGACAGUACCACAUGAAUAAGGGGCUCCUAACUCUGUGCCAGCAGGAGCGGUAAUACAGAGGCCCCAAGCGUUAUCCGGAAUCACUGGGCGUAAAGGGUGUCGAGGCGGUUGUAUUAGUCGUUCGUAAAAUCUACGAGCUUAACUUGUAGGCGGCGAACGAAACGGUACGACUUGAGGUUUGGAGAGGUGCGUGGAACUCACGGUGUAGGGGUGAAAUCCGUUGAUAUCGUGGGGAACACCAAAGGCGAAGGCAGCGCACUGGCCAAAAUCUGACGCUCACACACGAAAGCUAGGGUAGCGAAGAGGAUUAGAUACCCAAGUAGUCCCUGAGCGGGCUGGCAAGGCGCAU